GGGCCCGCACAAGCGGUGGAGCAUGUGGUUUAAUUCGAUGAUACGCGAGGAACCUUACCAGGGCUUAAAUGUAGUGGGACAGGUCUAGAGAUAGACCCUUCUUCGGACUCAUUACAAGGUGCUGCAUGGUUGUCGUCAGCUCGUGCCGUGAGGUGUCAGGUUAAGUCCUAUAACGAGCGCAACCCCUAUCGUUAGUUGCCAGCGAGUAAUGUCGGGAACUCUAACGAAACUGCCAGUGCAAACUGUGAGGAAGGUGGGGAUGACGUCAAAUCAUCACGGCCCUUACGUCCUGGGCUACACACGUGCUACAAUGGCAAGUACAACGAGUCGCAAUACCGCGAGGUGGAGCAAAUCUCUUAAAGCUUGUCUCAGUUCGGAUAGGAGUCUGCAACUCGACUCCUUGAAGUUGGAGUCGCUAGUAA
RNAcentral lists this ribosomal RNA (422 nucleotides) under uncultured bacterium. RNAcentral describes it as "bacterial SSU rRNA". It matches the Rfam family "Bacterial small subunit ribosomal RNA", at positions 917 to 1341 of the family's 1533-position model. The record is from RNAcentral.